GACGAACGCUGGCGGCGUGCUUAACACAUGCAAGUCGAACGGAAAGGCCCCUUUGGGGGUACUCGAGUGGCGAACGGGUGAGUAACACGUGAGUAACCUGCCCUUGACUUCGGGAUAACUUCAGGAAACUGGGGCUAAUACCGGAUAGGAAUCCUUGCUGCAUGGUGGGGGUUGGAAAGCUUCGGCGGUUUUGGAUGGACUCGCGGCUUAUCAGCUUGUUGGUGGGGUAGUGGCUUACCAAGGCUUUGACGGGUAGCCGGCCUGAGAGGGCGACCGGCCACAUUGGGACUGAGAUACGGCCCAGACUCCUACGGGAGGCAGCAGUGGGGAAUAUUGCACAAUGGGCGGAAGCCGGAUGCAGCAACGCCGCGUGCGGGAGGACGGCCUUCGGGUUGGAAACCGCUUUCAGCAGGGGCGAAGCUUGUGGUGACGGUACCUGCAGAAGAAGCACCGGCUAACUACGUG
Molecule: ribosomal RNA, 465 nt
Filed under: uncultured bacterium
Lineage: Bacteria
Description: partial 16S ribosomal RNA
Rfam family: Bacterial small subunit ribosomal RNA
Source: RNAcentral